This 1554-nucleotide ribosomal RNA is filed under the name Klebsiella pneumoniae. Its description in RNAcentral is "bacterial SSU rRNA". It matches the Rfam family "Bacterial small subunit ribosomal RNA". The record is from RNAcentral. Lineage: Bacteria; Pseudomonadati; Pseudomonadota; Gammaproteobacteria; Enterobacterales; Enterobacteriaceae.
ACUUAAAUUGAAGAGUUUGAUCAUGGCUCAGAUUGAACGCUGGCGGCAGGCCUAACACAUGCAAGUCGAGCGGUAGCACAGAGAGCUUGCUCUCGGGUGACGAGCGGCGGACGGGUGAGUAAUGUCUGGGAAACUGCCUGAUGGAGGGGGAUAACUACUGGAAACGGUAGCUAAUACCGCAUAACGUCGCAAGACCAAAGUGGGGGACCUUCGGGCCUCAUGCCAUCAGAUGUGCCCAGAUGGGAUUAGCUUGUAGGUGGGGUAACGGCUCACCUAGGCGACGAUCCCUAGCUGGUCUGAGAGGAUGACCAGCCACACUGGAACUGAGACACGGUCCAGACUCCUACGGGAGGCAGCAGUGGGGAAUAUUGCACAAUGGGCGCAAGCCUGAUGCAGCCAUGCCGCGUGUGUGAAGAAGGCCUUCGGGUUGUAAAGCACUUUCAGCGGGGAGGAAGGCGGUAAGGUUAAUAACCUCAUCGAUUGACGUUACCCGCAGAAGAAGCACCGGCUAACUCCGUGCCAGCAGCCGCGGUAAUACGGAGGGUGCAAGCGUUAAUCGGAAUUACUGGGCGUAAAGCGCACGCAGGCGGUCUGUCAAGUCGGAUGUGAAAUCCCCGGGCUCAACCUGGGAACUGCAUUCGAAACUGGCAGGCUAGAGUCUUGUAGAGGGGGGUAGAAUUCCAGGUGUAGCGGUGAAAUGCGUAGAGAUCUGGAGGAAUACCGGUGGCGAAGGCGGCCCCCUGGACAAAGACUGACGCUCAGGUGCGAAAGCGUGGGGAGCAAACAGGAUUAGAUACCCUGGUAGUCCACGCCGUAAACGAUGUCGAUUUGGAGGUUGUGCCCUUGAGGCGUGGCUUCCGGAGCUAACGCGUUAAAUCGACCGCCUGGGGAGUACGGCCGCAAGGUUAAAACUCAAAUGAAUUGACGGGGGCCCGCACAAGCGGUGGAGCAUGUGGUUUAAUUCGAUGCAACGCGAAGAACCUUACCUGGUCUUGACAUCCACAGAACUUUCCAGAGAUGGAUUGGUGCCUUCGGGAACUGUGAGACAGGUGCUGCAUGGCUGUCGUCAGCUCGUGUUGUGAAAUGUUGGGUUAAGUCCCGCAACGAGCGCAACCCUUAUCCUUUGUUGCCAGCGGUCCGGCCGGGAACUCAAAGGAGACUGCCAGUGAUAAACUGGAGGAAGGUGGGGAUGACGUCAAGUCAUCAUGGCCCUUACGACCAGGGCUACACACGUGCUACAAUGGCAUAUACAAAGAGAAGCGACCUCGCGAGAGCAAGCGGACCUCAUAAAGUAUGUCGUAGUCCGGAUUGGAGUCUGCAACUCGACUCCAUGAAGUCGGAAUCGCUAGUAAUCGUAGAUCAGAAUGCUACGGUGAAUACGUUCCCGGGCCUUGUACACACCGCCCGUCACACCAUGGGAGUGGGUUGCAAAAGAAGUAGGUAGCUUAACCUUCGGGAGGGCGCUUACCACUUUGUGAUUCAUGACUGGGGUGAAGUCGUAACAAGGUAACCGUAGGGGAACCUGCGGUUGGAUCACCUCCUUACCUUAAAGAA